This 432-nucleotide ribosomal RNA is filed under the name uncultured bacterium. RNAcentral's name for it is "partial 16S ribosomal RNA". It matches the Rfam family "Bacterial small subunit ribosomal RNA", at positions 29 to 506 of the family's 1533-position model. The record is from RNAcentral.
AACGAACGCUGGCGGCAUGCCUAACACAUGCAAGUCGAACGAUGCUUUCGGGCAUAGUGGCGCACGGGUGCGUAACGCGUGGGAAUCUGCCCUUGGGUUCGGAAUAACAGUGAGAAAUUGCUGCUAAUACCGGAUGAUGUCUUCGGACCAAAGAUUUAUCGCCCAGGGAUGAGCCCGCGUAGGAUUAGCUAGUUGGUGGGGUAAUGGCCUACCAAGGCGACGAUCCUUAGCUGGUCUGAGAGGAUGAUCAGCCACACUGGGACUGAGACACGGCCCAGACUCCUACGGGAGGCAGCAGUGGGGAAUAUUGGACAAUGGGCGCAAGCCUGAUCCAGCAAUGCCGCGUGAGUGAUGAAGGCCUUAGGGUGGUAAAGCUCUUUUACCCGGGAUGAUAAUGACAGUACCGGGAGAAUAAGCUCCGGCUAACUCCGU